RNAcentral lists this ribosomal RNA (323 nucleotides) under Brevundimonas mediterranea. RNAcentral describes it as "bacterial SSU rRNA". It matches the Rfam family "Bacterial small subunit ribosomal RNA", at positions 1008 to 1354 of the family's 1533-position model. Lineage: Bacteria; Pseudomonadati; Pseudomonadota; Alphaproteobacteria; Caulobacterales; Caulobacteraceae. The record is from RNAcentral.
CUGGCUUUCCCUUCGGGGACUAGGACACAGGUGCUGCAUGGCUGUCGUCAGCUCGUGUCGUGAGAUGUUGGGUUAAGUCCCGCAACGAGCGCAACCCUCGCCAUUAGUUGCCAUCAUUUAGUUGGGAACUCUAAUGGGACUGCCGGUGCUAAGCCGGAGGAAGGUGGGGAUGACGUCAAGUCCUCAUGGCCCUUACAGGGUGGGCUACACACGUGCUACAAUGGCGACUACAGAGGGUUAAUCCUUAAAAGUCGUCUCAGUUCGGAUUGUCCUCUGCAACUCGAGGGCAUGAAGUUGGAAUCGCUAGUAAUCGCGGAUCAGCA